ACGCGCGCUCCGGGGUCGGUGAAAUUCCGAGCCGGCGGUAACAGUCCGCGACCCGUCCCACCGUUGGUGGGCGGUGGACCUGGUGGAAUUCCGGGACCGACGGUGAAAGUCCGGAUGGGAGGCAGCGCGCGG
Molecule: regulatory RNA element, 132 nt
Rfam family: FMN riboswitch aptamer (RFN element)
About the family: The RFN element is a highly conserved domain that is found frequently in the 5'-untranslated regions of prokaryotic mRNAs that encode for flavin mononucleotide (FMN) biosynthesis and transport proteins. This element is a metabolite-dependent riboswitch that directly binds FMN in the absence of proteins.
Source: Rfam